RNAcentral lists this non-coding RNA (24 nucleotides) under Arabidopsis thaliana (thale cress). The record is from RNAcentral. Lineage: Eukaryota; Viridiplantae; Streptophyta; Magnoliopsida; Brassicales; Brassicaceae.
UGGGCAAGUUUAUUUCAUUACACC